This 1845-nucleotide unclassified non-coding RNA is filed under the name Agrilus planipennis (emerald ash borer). Its description in RNAcentral is "tRNA methyltransferase 10 homolog A, transcript variant X5". The record is from RNAcentral. Lineage: Eukaryota; Metazoa; Arthropoda; Insecta; Coleoptera; Buprestidae.
UAACCUGCAGGUAACCAUGAUUGCACGAUUGCACUAAUAAAAUUACAAGUAUUCUUCAAAUAAUCUGUACAGUCAGAAGUACUUCUUACAUAUUUUAACAAUAACACGUUUAUAUUACUAUUAAACAAUCGCAAAUAUUCGGUAGACACUCGCGUAGUGAGUUUUCUAUCUCUACAACACCAUAAUCAACACGGGUCACGGUCGGACUAGAGGUAUCAUGGAAACGAAUCCAAUAUCUUUGACUGACAAGAUCAACAAAUUAGGCUCUGAUGAUUGUCAUAACCAAGUGAUUUGUGAAGAGAAAACUUUCAAUGGGGUAGAGAUAACAAAACUAAGCAAAUCUCAAAUGAAAAAAUAUCAAAAAAUGCUUCGAUGGCAAGCACGAAAAGCUGAUAAAAGAGCGAAAGAGCGAGAAAAGCUGAGAAAAAGGAAAAUUGAAGCAAAAAUAAACAAUAUUUCAUUAGGCCCAAGUAGAAAAGAAUUGAAAAGGAAGAAAAUGAUUGACAGCAAUUGUAAAAUUUCAGUGGUUAUAGAUUUGAGUUUUGAUGAUUUAAUGAUACCCAAGGAUUUAGCAAAACUGAUAAAACAAGUAUUACGGGUGUAUACUGAAAAUCGAAGGGCAACCAAUCCUAUGCAGUUGUAUGUAACUAAUUUCAAUGGCAAAUCUAAAACUGAAAUGGAAAAACAUAAUGGUUAUGAAAAUUGGGAUAUCAAUUUUUGUGAAGAAAGUUAUAUAAAUAUAUUUCCUAUUGAAAACCUAAUUUAUCUUACCAGUGAAAGCGACAAUAUAAUUGAAAAACUAGAUCACAAUAAGGUUUAUGUAAUUGGUGGCUUAGUUGACCAUAAUGCACAUAAGGGUUUGUGUUAUAGAAAAGCAGUUAAAGAAGGAAUAGCUCAUGGACAGCUACCAAUUUCAAAUUUUUUUUCUAUAAAGUAUAGAAAGGUGUUUACUAUAAAUCAAGUUUUUGAAAUUAUUCUUAGAGUAAGCGAGGGAAAAACAUUUAAAGAAGCAUUUGAAACAGUUCUUCCAAAACGAAUAAACAUGGAGCCCAACAAAUAAUUUGAGUAUUUGUGGAAUUGUGAUAUUUGAGAAAUAUUUAGUUGCAUUUAUCUGGUUUAAAUUGAAAAAAUACAAUAACUGAUAAAUGAACGACAAAUGGAUUAUGGAAGUUUAACUCUUAUUAGAACUGCACUUAUAAUGCGACUGGCAACAUCUAUACUUCCGGGAAUUCCCCGUUUAUGACCAUGCGGUGCUAACUCUCCUGUCAAAAAUAGUGCAGACUAGACCUGGCAGAUGGCGGUGUUGCAGCGUUUAAAAAUUUUGUAAAAUGGGUUGCAUAAGAAAAAUAGCAUACGAUCAUAAAAAAUACUAUUUAUUUAAGUAUACAGGCUCACGCCUUUUACAAUUUUUACAUAAGAGAUUUAAACUAAUCGAGUAAUGAGAUAAAGUAUAGAUAUACUAAGUUAUUUGGUGGCGUUCUAGAGAAUAAACACUUUCUUCCGGAUGUCGGUUUUAAAUUCUUUUAUCGGGCUAUUCAGUAGCGAGUUUUUUUAUAUUUAGAUCAAGAUCAUUAAAUUGUUUGCUUAUGCCCGUUUGCACCGACGUUUUACUACGGCAGACUUAACAAAGUACUGCUUAAGCAUAAGUCUUACUUAACUUCCAAUUCGUUUGCACCGUACGCUGUCUACCUGCAACUUAAUAAUUUGUAGGGUUUUUUGUGCAGAAUGGUCAAGAAGUUUCAAAUUGAUUGUGGCCGUUAAGUAACGUCUGGUGUCGUGAAGUGUUGUUUGCCGCCUUUUUCUGCUGUUAUACGUUUUUGUUUUUGUAAUUAUUUGUGUUUUGUU